GCUUGCUUUUGCAAAGCAUAUACUAAAAUUGGAAUGAUACAGAGAAGAUUAGCAUGGCCCCUGUGCAAGGGUGACAUGCAAAUGUGUGAAGUGUUCCAUAUAUUU
Molecule: small nuclear RNA, 105 nt
Filed under: Pteropus alecto (black flying fox)
Lineage: Eukaryota; Metazoa; Chordata; Mammalia; Chiroptera; Pteropodidae
Source: RNAcentral